RNAcentral lists this ribosomal RNA (447 nucleotides) under uncultured bacterium. Its description in RNAcentral is "bacterial SSU rRNA". It matches the Rfam family "Bacterial small subunit ribosomal RNA", at positions 355 to 825 of the family's 1533-position model. The record is from RNAcentral.
UCGGGAAUUUUGGGCAAUGGGCGAAAGCCUGACCCAGCAACGCCGCGUGAAGGAUGAAGUAUUUCGGUAUGUAAACUUCGAAAGAAUAGGAAGAAUAAAUGACGGUACUAUUUAUAAGGUCCGGCUAACUACGUGCCAGCAGCCGCGGUAAUACGUAGGGACCAAGCGUUGUUCGGAUUUACUGGGCGUAAAGGGCGCGUAGGCGGCAAUUCAAGUCAUCUGUGAAAUCUCCGGGCUUAACUCGGAACGGUCAGAUGAUACUGCUUUGCUAGAGUGCAGAAGGGGCAAUCGGAAUUCUUGGUGUAGCGGUGAAAUGCGUAGAUAUCAAGAGGAACACCUGAGGUGAAGACGGGUUGCUGGGCUGACACUGACGCUGAGGCGCGAAAGCUAGGGUAGCAAACGGGAUUAGAUACCCCAGUAGUCCCUGAGCGGGCUGGCAAGGCGCAU